CCCAGACAGCCAGGAUGUUGGCUUAGAAGCAGCCAUCAUUUAAAGAAAGCGUAAUAGCUCACUGGUCGAGUCGGCCUGCGCGGAAGAUGUAACGGGGCUAAACCAUGCACCGAAGCUGCGGCAGCGAACGUAUCACUUAAAGCGAUUCAGCGGGUUACGAUUGACGGAGCGAAGCGACGUCAAAGCGUAUACAAAGUCGAGUCGGUUUAAGGAUACGUUCGUUGGGUAGGGGAGCGUUCUGUAAGCCUGUGAAGGUGUGUCGUGAGGCAUGCUGGAGGUAUCAGAAGUGCGAAUGCUGACAUAAGUAACGAUAAAGCGGGUGAAAAGCCCGCUCGCCGGAAGACCAA
RNAcentral lists this ribosomal RNA (347 nucleotides) under Salmonella enterica subsp. enterica serovar Infantis. RNAcentral's name for it is "bacterial LSU rRNA". It matches the Rfam family "Bacterial large subunit ribosomal RNA", at positions 1084 to 1348 of the family's 2925-position model. RNAcentral also lists the same sequence under 7 other names. Lineage: Bacteria; Pseudomonadati; Pseudomonadota; Gammaproteobacteria; Enterobacterales; Enterobacteriaceae. The record is from RNAcentral.